Ictalurus punctatus (channel catfish) is the source of this 796-nucleotide long non-coding RNA. The record is from Ensembl. Lineage: Eukaryota; Metazoa; Chordata; Actinopteri; Siluriformes; Ictaluridae.
CAGAGAGAGAGACAGAGUGACUGAACUGGAGAAGGACCUUGUGAUGUCACCGAGUGGGGAGACGUCAGAGGCGGCAUCCGAGUCCUCCUUGAUCCUGGGUUUUGGCACCACUGUAGAACCUGGUGUGCAUAGGCGAGGUUCGGAGGAAGACUCGUGAGGCAGGCGGAAUUUUGUUGUGUUUAUUUAUUUUAUUUUUUGGAGUUGCUGCAAGUUCAAAGAAACACAUAUAAGUAGAUUGGCAGUAAUAAGACCCAGGUGACUACCAUCACGCAUUACCUGCUGGCUCCUCUCUGUCUGCUCUGAUGCUCAACCACCCUCCCUCCAAGUUCAUGGAUCCGCUCAACAGAGAUCAUGACUAAGCCACUGACUCUUUCUCACAGCAUCGUAGAGCACAGGUCCACCUUGUGCUGCCAAAACAGCUGUGACCCAUCGAGGCAUGGACUCCACAAGACCUCUGAAGAUGUGCUGUGGUAUCUGGCACUGAGACGUUAGCAGCAGAUCCUUUAAAUCCUGACCUAAGGUUUCACAGCAGAACAUCGCCCAGAGCAUCACACUGCCUCCACUGGCUCGCCUUCUUCCCAUCCUGGUGCAUCCUAGUGCCAUCUUGUCCUCAGGUAAACGACAUACACGCACCCGACCUUCCACAUGAUGUAAAAGAAAACGUGAUUCAUCAGACCAGGCUUUAAGGUCCAGUUCUGAUGUUCACCUGCUCAUUGUAGUCACUUUCAGAUAUGGACAGAGGUCAGCAUGGGUACCCUGACUGGUCUGUGGCUACACAGCCCCAUAGGCAUCAAGC